GGCGCUAUAGUGUAGUGGUUAUCACUCGGGAUUUUGAAGACUAAAUUCCCGUAACCCAGGUUCGAGCCCUGGUAGUGCCU
Sphagnurus paluster is the source of this 80-nucleotide non-coding RNA. The record is from the annotation of a GenBank genome assembly. NCBI's taxonomy places the organism in Eukaryota, Fungi, Basidiomycota, Agaricomycetes, Agaricales, Lyophyllaceae.